GACGAACGCUGGCGGCGUGCUUAACACAUGCAAGUCGAACGGAAAGGCCCUGCUUUUGUGGGGUGCUCGAGUGGCGAACGGGUGAGUAACACGUGAGUAACCUGCCCUUGACUUUGGGAUAACUUCAGGAAACUGGGGCUAAUACCGGAUAGGAGCUCCUGCUGCAUGGUGGGGGUUGGAAAGUUUCGGCGGUUGGGGAUGGACUCGCGGCUUAUCAGCUUGUUGGUGGGGUAGUGGCUUACCAAGGCUUUGACGGGUAGCCGGCCUGAGAGGGUGACCGGCCACAUUGGGACUACGGUACGGCCCAGACUCCUACGGGAGGCAGCAGUGGAGAAUAUUGCACAAUGGGCGGAAGCCAGAUGCAGCAGCGCCGCGUGCGGGAUGACGGCCUUCGGGUUGUAAACCGCUUUCGCCUGUGACGAAGCGUGAGUGACGGUAAUGGGUAAAGAAGCACCGGCUAACUACGUG
Molecule: ribosomal RNA, 468 nt
Filed under: uncultured bacterium
Lineage: Bacteria
Description: partial 16S ribosomal RNA
Rfam family: Bacterial small subunit ribosomal RNA
Source: RNAcentral